UACAGAGGUCUCAAGCGUUGUUCGGAUUCAUUGGGCGUAAAGGGUGCGUAGGUGGCGCCGUAAGUCGGGUGUGAAAUUUCGGAGCUUAACUCCGAAACUGCAUUCGAUACUGCCGUGCUUGAGGACUGGAGAGGAGACUGGAAUUUACGGUGUAGCAGUGAAAUGCGUAGAGAUCGUAAGGAAGACCAGUGGCGAAGGCGGGUCUCUGGACAGUUCCUGACACUGAGGCACGAAGGCCAGGGGAGCGAACGGG
Molecule: ribosomal RNA, 253 nt
Filed under: uncultured bacterium
Lineage: Bacteria
Description: partial 16S ribosomal RNA
Rfam family: Bacterial small subunit ribosomal RNA
Source: RNAcentral